This 253-nucleotide ribosomal RNA is filed under the name uncultured bacterium. RNAcentral describes it as "partial 16S ribosomal RNA". It matches the Rfam family "Bacterial small subunit ribosomal RNA", at positions 524 to 776 of the family's 1533-position model. The record is from RNAcentral.
UACGGAGGGGGCUAGCGUUGUUCGGAAUUACUGGGCGUAAAGCGCACGUAGGCGGCUUUGUAAGUUAGAGGUGAAAGCCCGGGGCUCAACUCCGGAAUUGCCUUUAAGACUGCAUCGCUAGAAUUGUGGAGAGGUGAGUGGAACUGCGAGUGUAGAGGUGAAAUUCGUAGAUAUUCGCAAGAACACCAGUGGCGAAGGCGGCUCACUGGCCCGAUACUGACGCUGAGGUGCGAAAGCGUGGGGAGCAAACAGG